AAGAUGUUGAGAUAGAAAAGGACUAUUGUAUAUUUUUCUGAAAUUAUGUUGUACUAGAUUUUAUCCCGCGGUAUACCGCGGUGACAAUUUAACUUUUUAAAGUUAGUAUAAUU
RNAcentral lists this small RNA (113 nucleotides) under Arabidopsis thaliana (thale cress). Its description in RNAcentral is "ATSL024650". Lineage: Eukaryota; Viridiplantae; Streptophyta; Magnoliopsida; Brassicales; Brassicaceae. The record is from RNAcentral.